GGGUCUCGAACCGGAUUAGAUACCCGGGUAGUCCCAGCCGUAAACGAUGCCAGUUAGGGUGUGGCACAGGCUACGAAGCCUGUGCUGUGCCCGUAGGGAAGCCCGUGAAACUGGCCGCCUGGGAAGUACGUCCGCAAAGAUGAAACUUUAAAGGAAUUGGCGGGGGGAGCACUACAACCGGAGGAGCCUGCGGUUUAAUUGGACUCAACGCCGGACAUUUCACCAGCUCCGACUACAGUGAUGACGGUCAGGUUGAUGACCUCGCCACGACGCUGUUAGAGAGGAGGUGCAUGGCCGCCGUCAGCUCGUACCGUGAGGCGUCCCGUUAAGUCAGGCAACGAGCGAGACCCGCACACUUAAUUGCCAGCAUCAGGUUUCCUGGAUGGGUACAUUAAGUGGACUGCCGCUGCUAAAGAGGAGGAAGGAACGGGCAACGGUAGGUCAGUAUGCCCCGAAUGAGCUGGGCUACACGCGGGCUACAAUGGCCAAGACAAUGGGUUCCA
This 503-nucleotide ribosomal RNA is filed under the name uncultured Halobacteria archaeon. Its description in RNAcentral is "bacterial SSU rRNA". It matches the Rfam family "Archaeal small subunit ribosomal RNA", at positions 714 to 1207 of the family's 1478-position model. The record is from RNAcentral. Lineage: Archaea; Methanobacteriati; Methanobacteriota; Halobacteria.